CCCCAGAGAAUAGCUCAGUCAAUAGAGCGUGAGACUCUUAAUCUCAGGGUUAUGGAUUCAAGCCUCACACUGGGCA
This is a non-coding RNA of Podarcis lilfordi (Lilford's wall lizard), 76 nucleotides long. NCBI's taxonomy places the organism in Eukaryota, Metazoa, Chordata, Lepidosauria, Squamata, Lacertidae. The record is from the annotation of a GenBank genome assembly.